CGCAUAAUCUCCGAGGAGAAAAGCAGGGGAUCGCAAGACCUUGCGCUUUUGGAGCGGCCGAUGUCUGAUUAGCUAGUUGGUGAGGUAAAGGCUUACCAAGGCGUCGAUCAGUAGCUGGUCUGAGAGGACGACCAGCCACACUGGGACUGAGACACGGCCCAGACUCCUACGGGAGGCAGCAGUGGGGAAUUUUGGACAAUGGGGGAAACCCUGAUCCAGCCAUGCCGCGUGAGUGAAGAAGGCCUUCGGGUUGUAAAGCUGUUUCAGCCGGAACGAAACGGUCACGGUUAAUACCCGUGACUACUGACGGUACCGGAAGAAGAAG
Molecule: ribosomal RNA, 325 nt
Filed under: Nitrosospira sp.
Lineage: Bacteria; Pseudomonadati; Pseudomonadota; Betaproteobacteria; Nitrosomonadales; Nitrosomonadaceae
Description: bacterial SSU rRNA
Rfam family: Bacterial small subunit ribosomal RNA
Source: RNAcentral